UACAUUCCUGCCACAAAUUAGAAGUUUUGUCCUUUUCUUUCAAGCUUCUUUUUUAGUUUGCUUCUAUAAUUGUAUGUAACUUUCAAAUCACACUUGUUAGAAUUCUAGAGGAUUUAACUUUGUAUCUAUUGACCAUACUGCAUGCAAUAAACUGUUGUAGUGACACAAGUUCUGUGCUAAGAGAUGCCUAAACUGUUGCUCCAACACCAGCAUCUAGAACGAAGAGUCCUGCACAUCCAACUGCUAGUUCACAAUCAAGCUCAAUUUGUGGUGACACAAGGGUUGUGCCAAUAGCUCCACAAAAGAGGGCUCAAGUUGGAGCUGGCAGGGGAAGGCGCAGAAAAAAAUUCACAAAUGCAAGAGGGGUACCAUUUGUGAGUGCAAGAGAAGACUCUUCUUUAGGUCAAUUGCCACCAUUAUCAGGCCACAAAAGGGCAUAUACUACUACUGGUUUUGCUGCAGCCUGGUACAACAAAUGAGAGGGUUCUACAUGGUGCAACAAAGUUGAAGAGUGCUUCACCAACAAAUAUUGAUAUUGGUUAUAAAGCUCGUGGACUGAAAUGGCAAGGAAAAGAUGAAAUGACCACAUCACAACUAUCCCGAUUGAGAGCCAACAAGAGAAACCAAAAGGCUGCAUCAGAAGCAACCAGAUUUUCAGCAGAAGGAAGCUCCAACAAGUAGUUAAUGUAGGAAAUUUGUUACAUUUAAGUCUCUAAAACAAUGUCUUUAGUAUAUGUAAACUGCAGUAGUGCUGUCUAGCUAGACUUAUUAUUAUGCAUUACUGUUGUGCCAA
Molecule: long non-coding RNA, 793 nt
Organism: Lycium barbarum (goji berry)
Lineage: Eukaryota; Viridiplantae; Streptophyta; Magnoliopsida; Solanales; Solanaceae
Exons: 3
Source: RefSeq, a predicted model, not a curated record